RNAcentral lists this ribosomal RNA (658 nucleotides) under Salmonella enterica subsp. enterica serovar Kentucky. Its description in RNAcentral is "partial 23S ribosomal RNA". It matches the Rfam family "Bacterial large subunit ribosomal RNA", at positions 670 to 1324 of the family's 2925-position model. Lineage: Bacteria; Pseudomonadati; Pseudomonadota; Gammaproteobacteria; Enterobacterales; Enterobacteriaceae. The record is from RNAcentral.
AGGGAAACCGAGUCUUAACCGGGCGUUAAGUUGCAGGGUAUAGACCCGAAACCCGGUGAUCUAGCCAUGGGCAGGUUGAAGGUUGGGUAACACUAACUGGAGGACCGAACCGACUAAUGUUGAAAAAUUAGCGGAUGACUUGUGGCUGGGGGUGAAAGGCCAAUCAAACCGGGAGAUAGCUGGUUCUCCCCGAAAGCUAUUUAGGUAGCGCCUCGUGAACUCAUCUUCGGGGGUAGAGCACUGUUUCGGCUAGGGGGUCAUCCCGACUUACCAACCCGAUGCAAACUGCGAAUACCGAAGAAUGUUAUCACGGGAGACACACGGCGGGUGCUAACGUCCGUCGUGAAGAGGGAAACAACCCAGACCGCCAGCUAAGGUCCCAAAGUCACAGUUAAGUGGGAAACGAUGUGGGAAGGCUCAGACAGCCAGGAUGUUGGCUUAGAAGCAGCCAUCAUUUAAAGAAAGCGUAAUAGCUCACUGGUCGAGUCGGCCUGCGCGGAAGAUGUAACGGGGCUAAACUGUGCACCGAAGCUGCGGCAGCGACGCUUAUGCGUUGUUGGGUAGGGGAGCGUUCUGUAAGCCUGCGAAGGUGUCCUGUGAGGGAUGCUGGAGGUAUCAGAAGUGCGAAUGCUGACAUAAGUAACGAUAAUGCGGGUGA